AUUAUUUGUUUGACUUACUUUCAGUUGUAAUAAAUUAUUUGGGUUAUUUUGGAAAGCGGACUCCUCCUGUUCUUUUGUCAUGGCCAUUGAGCCGGGUUAUGACAAAAUGGGGGCUCGUCCAGCUGUUUUGUUCCCGUUUUGGUUGCAAUGUGGACUCGGCGUGGAUCCUCGGCUGCAGUUUGUUUACGCAGGUAGCAGGAGAGUCAGUUAACAGGGAAACCGAACCAGUCUGUGAAGCCUGUUCCUCUGCAACCGAUACCAGCCGUGCUGGGAUUGGCCAGGUAAAAUCACUGAGAUGUGGAGCACCUGGGCCU
Amphiprion ocellaris (clown anemonefish) is the source of this 314-nucleotide long non-coding RNA. Lineage: Eukaryota; Metazoa; Chordata; Actinopteri; Pomacentridae. The record is from Ensembl.